RNAcentral lists this transfer RNA (57 nucleotides) under Orthione mesoamericana. RNAcentral's name for it is "tRNA-Thr". Lineage: Eukaryota; Metazoa; Arthropoda; Malacostraca; Isopoda; Bopyridae. The record is from RNAcentral.
GCUCUUGUAGUUUAUAAAAAAUAGUAUCCUUGUAAGAUAAAGAAGUAUUUAAGAGCU